RNAcentral lists this ribosomal RNA (252 nucleotides) under uncultured Staphylococcus sp. RNAcentral's name for it is "partial 16S ribosomal RNA". It matches the Rfam family "Bacterial small subunit ribosomal RNA", at positions 526 to 777 of the family's 1533-position model. The record is from RNAcentral. Lineage: Bacteria; Bacillati; Bacillota; Bacilli; Caryophanales; Staphylococcaceae.
CGUAGGUGGCAAGCGUUAUCCGGAAUUAUUGGGCGUAAAGCGCGCGUAGGCGGUUUCUUAAGUCUGAUGUGAAAGCCCACGGCUCAACCGUGGAGGGUCAUUGGAAACUGGGAGACUUGAGUGCAGAAGAGGAAAGUGGAAUUCCAUGUGUAGCGGUGAAAUGCGCAGAGAUAUGGAGGAACACCAGUGGCGAAGGCGACUUUCUGGUCUGUAACUGACGCUGAUGUGCGAAAGCGUGGGGAUCAAACAGGA